UUAACAAAUACCAUCAUCAUGAUCAUUGUUUCAUCCAUGAAUAGAUAUUUGGAUGAAGGUUUUCACGAGCAUCACUUUCUGCAUGUAAAAUGUCCUGCAGUUUCACCUUGAUUAAGAACUCUGUCACAAGACCUUUGUAGCGGGGCGGUUUGGAUCUUUUGUUUUCGUGUUACCGGGCCCCGGGAGAUGUCGGGAUUCAUUCUGAAAUGUCUGAUGGGGAAAUCGAAUGCGAACAGUCGGUUUCAGAGGUCUAUCCGUUUCUGGCACGAGUAGUCGCUAAGAAAACCAACAGGGUGGAUAUGACUUCCGUCACUCUUUAAGUAGUCUCUGGUCAUUACUUUUCUACAAAAGAAAAUUGAUAUGUAAUUGAUACUUCAAGUCUCCCCAAACAGAAUUUCUUGAAUUGUCAGUCAAGCAGGGGGAGCACUUGAAGCACUUUAAAAUGCCGUGAGAUUUUUGUAGAUUUAAAGAGUAACUUUUUUUCAGUGACUCUUGAAUAAGUGGCACUUUUUUCAUGGAUUUUAAGUACAUUAAAUGUUUUUAACAGGUCAGAAAAUGACAGCAGUAAAGUUCGGUGACUUUUUUUUUUCUUCUAAGAGAACAAGGAGGGCUUUGUUUCUGCAGAUGUUUUUCAGUGAAAUAUUUGAUCAAAAUUGUUGCUGUGUGUAUUGAAUUGCAGUAUGAGAACUAGAGAAUUCAGCCAUUUGUACAUUCCCUAAUUAAUGACUUUUUUAGUUUUUACAAAGACUGAAAAAUAAAUAUUUAUUGUGAUCAUCAAAUGUUCAUGGUAGUUCGAGGUUUUUAGUUAAUCGGCAUUCUUAAAAAAAUAAAUUGAAAUAUUCUGAAAAGAGUUUCUCCUAGUUUGCUAAUUUGACCAAACCUGUGUGGUGUCAUUCUUCUUUUUUUUUCAAUUGAAAAUACAGUUCCCGUAGCACCACUUUUGCACGAAAUAUUGUUACUAAGCAACAGCUGACGUCAGUUAGUGCUACACAAGAAGGUUUGUGUGUUUAUCUGCUGAGGGCAGACCCUCGGAAAAGGGCAAAAGUAUGAAACUCCAUUAGUCACUUCUGUAUAAAACCCAACGUGACUCUCCUCAGAUAUACGCGCUUCAAGUACACACUUGGGAUAGGAGAUGUUCUUCACUGGAGUAAGUGACAGCCUGAGAAUGUGAGCAGCAGAGGACUCAAUAUUUUGUCAAUUAAAUAUAAUGCAGAAUAUAUUUUCCUCAGGUCAUUAUUAUGUAGCAAGAGUUCAUACAAUAUUUGAAGUUGGUUACUAGCUCAAAAAAUAAAGCAAGAUACAUCGUU
Molecule: RNA transcript, 1307 nt
Organism: Ornithorhynchus anatinus (platypus)
Lineage: Eukaryota; Metazoa; Chordata; Mammalia; Monotremata; Ornithorhynchidae
Exons: 2
Source: RefSeq, a predicted model, not a curated record